AUACUUACCUGGACGGGGUCAAUGGGUGAUCAACAAGGCCCAUGGCCUAGGCUGGUGACCUCCAUUGCACUUGGGAGGGGUGCUAGCCUAAGGUCUGUCCAAGAGACAGAGCCUACGUCAUAAUUUGUGGUAGUGGGGGCCUGCGUUCGCGCGGCCCCUUU
Non-coding RNA from Cajanus cajan (pigeon pea), 161 nucleotides. The record is from Rfam. NCBI's taxonomy places the organism in Eukaryota, Viridiplantae, Streptophyta, Magnoliopsida, Fabales, Fabaceae.